RNAcentral lists this long non-coding RNA (308 nucleotides) under Bos mutus (wild yak). RNAcentral's name for it is "lncRNA (ENSBMUG00000006376.1)". Lineage: Eukaryota; Metazoa; Chordata; Mammalia; Artiodactyla; Bovidae. The record is from RNAcentral.
CCCAGUUGGCGCUUUCUCAGCGCGCUGACCUGUGGUCGAGGCUUGGAGCCGACCUCUGGAGAGGGCAGAGGCCCCAAGCGGAGAUUUCUUUUCUAGAUCAAUACUGAAUGGAUCAAAUCGGAAAGAAGCCUCUCUGGCCAGAAAAAGAAGAAAUAACAUCCCUAAAGGAGGAACGUGUAAAUCAGGAAUUGAGCCAAGAAAAGCAUGGGAGAUGAACUUCUUCUCUGUCUCCAUAAUUCUUAAGAGGAAGAAUUAAUGAGAAUUGAAAGGAGAAGCUUCUGCUGGAAGAAUAAUGCUUGAGUUCCAGG